Molecule: non-coding RNA, 111 nt
Organism: Acanthosepion pharaonis
Lineage: Eukaryota; Metazoa; Mollusca; Cephalopoda; Sepiida; Sepiidae
Source: the annotation of a GenBank genome assembly
GCCACAUUAAACAUUGAAACACUGGUUCUUAUACAAUCACUGAAGUUAAGCAAUAUCAAGCCUGGGUAGUACCUAGAUGGGUAACUAUUUGGGAAUAUCAGGUGCUGUAAG